RNAcentral lists this ribosomal RNA (324 nucleotides) under uncultured bacterium. RNAcentral's name for it is "bacterial SSU rRNA". It matches the Rfam family "Bacterial small subunit ribosomal RNA", at positions 28 to 334 of the family's 1533-position model. The record is from RNAcentral.
GACGAACGCUGGCGGCGUGCUUAACACAUGCAAGUCGAACGGGGUUCCUUGGAUAGAGGCUUCGGCCAAUUGAAUUGGAACCUAGUGGCGGACUGGUGAGUAACGCGUGAGGAACCUGCCUUUCAGAGGGGGACAACAGUUGGAAACGGCUGCUAAUACCGCAUGACACAUAAACAGGGCAUCCUGGAUAUGUCAAAGAUUUUAUCGCUGAAAGAUGGCCUCGCGUCUGAUUAGCUAGUUGGUGAGGUAACGGCCCACCAAGGCGACGAUCGGUAGCCGGACUGAGAGGUUGACCGGCCACAUUGGGACUGAGAUACGGCCCAG